UCAUCCUAAACUCUAAUCAGUAUUACGAAACAGUAGAUUUCUCUGGCACAAAGAACAAAUUUUACAUAAUCAACUCUAUCCAAACACCAAAUAUCACAUAACACACGUUAAAAUCCCAAGGUUCAGGUAGUAUGAAGGUCUUCUUAAAUUCAUCCUAAACUCUAAUCAGUAUUACGAAACAGUAAAUUUCUGGCACAAAGAACAAAUUUUACAUAAUCAACUCUAUCCAAACACCAAAUAUCACAUAACACACAUAAUCCUCAACAAACUACAUAACCGGAAUUUCAACAAAUCCUUCAACUUUCGAAACCCUAGAAAAUCAGAAUCACUUAUCUUUGGUGGAGACAGCAUCACCUGCGAGCAGACGUAGUCUUUGAGUCGGACGUUGGGUUCUCGAGAGCGUUGAGAACGACGAAGCGGCUCUCAGCGGGAACAAGGGAAAGAGAAUCAGGAAGGACGACAUCAACUGGGAAUUUGGGGCGUCGGGCAUAAUUUUCGAAAUUGGAGGGUGGAGGCGGAUUGGGUGAUGGAGAUGACGGCGGCGGAUCGGUUGAUGGAGAUGGCGGCGACGGAUUGGGUGGUGGAGAGGGCGGUGGAGAAUUUGGUGGGGAAGAUGUCGAUGGCAGGUUUA
RNAcentral lists this long non-coding RNA (631 nucleotides) under Fragaria vesca (wild strawberry). RNAcentral describes it as "long non-coding RNA (FVES_LNC000437)". The record is from RNAcentral. Lineage: Eukaryota; Viridiplantae; Streptophyta; Magnoliopsida; Rosales; Rosaceae.